UGCCUCCUGGUGUGUGUUCUUACACUGACUGUAUAGGAAGAGGAGGGAAAGUAAACCUACCCCAUAUGCACCUCAGCCUAGGCCCUGCGCCUGGUCUGUAUUGUGAAUGGGAAGAGAUAU
RNAcentral lists this small nucleolar RNA (120 nucleotides) under Castor canadensis (American beaver). Its description in RNAcentral is "Small nucleolar RNA SNORA51 (ENSCCNG00000004866.1)". It matches the Rfam family "Small nucleolar RNA SNORA51". Rfam says of the family: ACA51 is a member of the H/ACA class of snoRNA that guide the sites of modification of uridines to pseudouridines. Lineage: Eukaryota; Metazoa; Chordata; Mammalia; Rodentia; Castoridae. The record is from Rfam by way of RNAcentral.